RNAcentral lists this ribosomal RNA (270 nucleotides) under uncultured prokaryote. Its description in RNAcentral is "partial 16S ribosomal RNA". It matches the Rfam family "Bacterial small subunit ribosomal RNA", at positions 505 to 774 of the family's 1533-position model. The record is from RNAcentral.
GUGUCAGCCGCCGCGGUAAUACGGAGGGUGCGAGCGUUAAUCGGAAUUACUGGGCGUAAAGCGUGCGCAGGCGGUUUGCUAAGACCGAUGUGAAAUCCCCGGGCUCAACCUGGGAACUGCAUUGGUGACUGGCAGGCUAGAGUAUGGCAGAGGGGGGUAGAAUUCCACGUGUAGCAGUGAAAUGCGUAGAGAUGUGGAGGAAUACCGAUGGCGAAGGCAGCCCCCUGGGCCAAUACUGACGCUCAUGCACGAAAGCGUGGGGAGCAAACA